UACGGAGGGGGCUAGCGUUGUUCGGAAUUACUGGGCGUAAAGCGCGCGUAGGCGGCUUUGUAAGUCAGAGGUGAAAAGCCUGGAGCUCAACUCCAGAACUGCCUUUGAGACUGCAUCGCUAGAAUCAUGGAGAGGUUAGUGGAAUUCCGAGUGUAGAGGUGAAAUUCGUAGAUAUCGGAAGAACACCAGUGGCGAAGGCGACUAACUGGACAUGUAUUGACGCUGAGGUGCGAAAGCGUGGGGAGCAAACAGGG
This 254-nucleotide ribosomal RNA is filed under the name uncultured bacterium. RNAcentral describes it as "partial 16S ribosomal RNA". It matches the Rfam family "Bacterial small subunit ribosomal RNA", at positions 524 to 777 of the family's 1533-position model. The record is from RNAcentral.